This 74-nucleotide transfer RNA is filed under the name Culex quinquefasciatus (southern house mosquito). Its description in RNAcentral is "tRNA-Ser". The stretch from base 8 to 67 matches the Rfam family "tRNA", at positions 7 to 64 of the family's 71-position model. Rfam says of the family: Transfer RNA (tRNA) molecules are approximately 80 nucleotides in length. Their secondary structure includes four short double-helical elements and three loops (D, anti-codon, and T loops). The record is from RNAcentral. Lineage: Eukaryota; Metazoa; Arthropoda; Insecta; Diptera; Culicidae.
GCAGUGCGUGGCCGAAUGGUUACGCUGUCCGCUUUGAAAGCGGAUGAUUCUGGGUUCGAUUCCCAUCUACUCCA